GAAGUGCAAAAAUGCUUAAAUAAUUAGGAAAACCUAUUAAUGUACCCCUUACUUACAUGGAAAUUUUAAGUAUCUGGAGGAACAAGGAAGAAAUACUUCCAUUCCUAGCUGAUUUAAUAAUUUAAAUCUUAAGAACAUAUCUUAGAAUUACAUUUACAAAUCUUAGAACAUAAUCACAUGGCUUAUCUCAUCUCACCUAAAAAUACAUAAAAGAAACACUUCGUAUAAUCCAUCUGAUCCCAUCAUAUCUGACACACAACAAUUGCCUCUUUUGAGGUUCAUUAACCUACCGCACCACUCUUUAAUAUCCACGCCUCAUUUCCGAUAGACAAUUCCGGCCAGCCAGAACACAAAUAAUGAGAGAGCAAGUGGAAAUUCACACAAAUUCACACAAAGAGGAAAAGCCAGGAAGACAGAGGAAGAGCGGCCAAAGUCAAGUAGACAGCCAAGACAAACACCAAUUAAAUGCACAUAAUGAUAAUGUUGUGCCGAAAAGUCAUUCGGAGCAACUAAAUUACAACUUCCACUUUACAUUACAUGGCACGGCAGCGGAACCUCAACCUCCAGACCCGGACCCGGAACCCAACCCAACCAAUCCCAUACCAAUCGCAACCUAACCCAAUGAACUCUUGGAAAAACCUCGAACGGAACCGAAAAAUCCACACAAAAUUAAAAGUCUGCUGCAGUUGCAAAAGGAGAAACAGAUGGCUACUGCAACGUAAUGAAAACAAACCAGCACCAACGAAAAUCGCCCGAAUUUGUGUCUAAAGUGUUUGGACUCCGCACUUUUCACCCGUUCACCCCUGCCCCACACAAUCCCGCCAUACAAACCACUCCCAAACAACCAAAAAAAGACAAUCCUAGAGCUAAAGUUGGUUUACCGCUCGGCUGAGCGAAGAAGUUCAAUGCACAAGUUCAUGAACUUGGGGAAACCGACUUGAAAAGGUUUGCCUUCUGGUCCGCUGACAGAGCAGUUUAUAAUUAGAAAUCGUACCGAGUCCCAGCUCCAUCUCCAGCUCCAUCUCCAUCUUCAUCGCCAUCUAAAACUCUGGAGUAUCUCACCCAAAAGAAAAGUCAAGUGGAUUUUGGCGGCUGAAGUUGGAAAUGAACUGCAGUGCCGCAGAGAAAAGCGGGAGAUGAAGUCGGAGUCCUCUGCCAUCGGUUACGUAACGUGGGAUUUCUGUUUACCCAAAGACGGCGAUGAUGGCGACAAGUGCAUAUACAGCUCCUCGUAUAUUGACAGAAAACAAAAGCAAACAAUUUGUCGGUGUGCAGGUCGCUUAUGUAAAUAAAAGGC
Non-coding RNA from Drosophila melanogaster (fruit fly), 1297 nucleotides. NCBI's taxonomy places the organism in Eukaryota, Metazoa, Arthropoda, Insecta, Diptera, Drosophilidae. The record is from Ensembl.